RNAcentral lists this ribosomal RNA (294 nucleotides) under uncultured bacterium. RNAcentral's name for it is "partial 16S ribosomal RNA". It matches the Rfam family "Bacterial small subunit ribosomal RNA", at positions 29 to 334 of the family's 1533-position model. The record is from RNAcentral.
AACGAACGCUGGCGGUAUGCUUAACACAUGCAAGUCGAACGAAUUAUAAAAGCUUGCUUUUAUAAAUUAGUGGCAAACGGGUGAGUAAUGUAGAGGAAUCUACCUAGCAGUAAGGAAUAACUUUGGGAAACUAAAGCUAAUACCAUAUAUUACCGAUUUAUCGGGAAAGAUUUAUCGCUGUUAGAUGAGCCUCUAUCAGAUUAGCUUGUUGGUGGGGUAAUGGCCUACCAAGGCAAUGAUCUGUAGCUGGUCUGGGAGGAUGAUCAGCCACACUGGGACUGAGACACGGCCCAG